This 484-nucleotide ribosomal RNA is filed under the name uncultured bacterium. RNAcentral's name for it is "partial 16S ribosomal RNA". It matches the Rfam family "Bacterial small subunit ribosomal RNA", at positions 30 to 507 of the family's 1533-position model. The record is from RNAcentral.
AUUGAACGCUGGCGGCAGGCCUAACACAUGCAAGUCGAGCGGAUGAAGGGAGCUUGCUCCUGGAUUCAGCGGCGGACGGGUGAGUAAUGCCUAGGAAUCUGCCUGGUAGUGGGGGAUAACGUCCGGAAACGGGCGCUAAUACCGCAUACGUCCUGAGGGAGAAAGUGGGGGAUCUUCGGACCUCACGCUAUCAGAUGAGCCUAGGUCGGAUUAGCUAGUUGGUGGGGUAAAGGCCUACCAAGGCGACGAUCCGUAACUGGUCUGAGAGGAUGAUCAGUCACAUUGGAACUGAGACACGGUCCAGACUCCUACGGGAGGCAGCAGUGGGGAAUAUUGGACAAUGGGCGAAAGCCUGAUCCGGCCAUGCCGCGUGUGUGAAGAAGGUCUUCGGAUUGUAAAGCACUUUAAGUUGGGAGGAAGGGCAGUAAGUUAAUACCUUGCUGUUUUGACGUUACCAACAGAAUAAGCACCGGCUAACUUCGUG